RNAcentral lists this ribosomal RNA (465 nucleotides) under uncultured bacterium. RNAcentral's name for it is "partial 16S ribosomal RNA". It matches the Rfam family "Bacterial small subunit ribosomal RNA", at positions 28 to 507 of the family's 1533-position model. The record is from RNAcentral.
GACGAACGCUGGCGGCGUGCUUAACACAUGCAAGUCGAACGGAAAGGCCCCUUUGGGGGUACUCGAGUGGCGAACGGGUGAGUAACACGUGCGUAACCUGCCCUUGACUUCGGGAUAACUUCAGGAAACUGGGGCUAAUACCGGAUAGGAAUCCUUGCUGCAUGGUGGGGGUUGGAAAGCUUAGGUGGUUUUGGAUGGACUCGCAGCUUAUCAGCUUGUUGGUGGGGUAGUGGCUUACCAAGGCUUUGACGGGUAGCCGGCCUGGGAGGGCGACCGGCCACAGUGGGACUGGGAUACGGCCCAGACUCCUACGGGAGGCAGCAGUGGGGAAUAUUGCACAAUGGGCGGGAGCCUGAUGCAGCAACGCCGCGUGCGGGAUGACGGCCUUCGGGUUGUAAACCGCUUUCAGCAGGGGCGAAGCUUGUGGUGACGGUACCUGCAGAAGAAGCACCGGCUAACUACGUG